This 786-nucleotide unclassified non-coding RNA is filed under the name Bombus terrestris (buff-tailed bumblebee). Its description in RNAcentral is "misc RNA ENSBTSG00005036507.1". The record is from RNAcentral. Lineage: Eukaryota; Metazoa; Arthropoda; Insecta; Hymenoptera; Apidae.
AGUAAACAUAUAUCAAAGAGGAAAUAAGAAGAACUGACGCCUAUGGUUUUCUAUGUUACAGAGCUAGUGCUGCACCAUACGGCCAAAUGCCGAAGGUAGCUUGUGCUAGUAUAUACCUGCCUAUACGUUUCAAUGAGAAAAUCGAUAUUAUGUGUUUAUGUGAAAAUUCACAUUUCCCUAGGAGCUGUAUUUUGAUAGAUUUAAGCUUCUAAUGGAGCAUUUUAAACGUAUAGAGUAUACUAUGAAGUAGAUAGUAGUGCGGAUCAUUUUAUAUUCAUAGAAAAUUUGAAUGUAUAGAAAUGUACAAAAUGCUCAUGAUAUGCAAAAAUAUGCAAAAUAUUCAAAGUAAACCGAUCAUCAAAAAGUUUAGAAGUUUUUCCCAUAUUGGACUUAUUUCUAGCAGCCAUGCUUGCUUACAAAGCAAUUUUAUAUCCACGCAAGAAUAUUUUUCAGUAGAUUUUAUUAUGUGGUUUACAAUAUCCAUAUUCUCUAAUAACUGGUUGCUAAGGUAUAAUUUGAACAUACCAAGUCGAGUAACUUCAUUUGGUAAUGAUACGUAUAUUUUCUUUUCAAGAAAAAGUCUGCGUAAAGCUGCAUCAAUGUCCCUAAUAAUAUAUUUACAAUAAAUAUUAUUGUUCUGUUAUAUUAAUAAUAACAAAGGAAUAUUCCGCACAACGCAAUAAUUAAGAUUAAGAUAAUGAAUAAUUAUGAUAUUAAGAUAUUUUCUACUUAGAAAACAUUGAAAUAGGGUGAUAUACAUACCACGGGCAAUUAGUUGCAGCCAAA